This 200-nucleotide long non-coding RNA is filed under the name Solanum tuberosum (potato). Its description in RNAcentral is "long non-coding RNA (STUB_LNC008900)". Lineage: Eukaryota; Viridiplantae; Streptophyta; Magnoliopsida; Solanales; Solanaceae. The record is from RNAcentral.
AGCGUUGAAUAAGUUCAAAGUGGUGCAGAAAAAAGCUCAAAAUUAGCCCAAAAGCAGACCAAAUUCAGCCCUUAAGUGGAAGCUGAAAUCAACAGCUCAAUCAAGUCCAAAUGGGACUCAAAAGCCACCACCAAGAGAGCCCACAAUGUCCUUAAUUCAGCCACAACCAAGCUAGGGUUUUAUUUAGAGCAACUUACAAG